This 102-nucleotide small nucleolar RNA is filed under the name Echinops telfairi (small Madagascar hedgehog). RNAcentral's name for it is "Small nucleolar RNA SNORA61 (ENSETEG00000025646.1)". The record is from RNAcentral. Lineage: Eukaryota; Metazoa; Chordata; Mammalia; Afrosoricida; Tenrecidae.
AUCCUCCAGACUCCUUAUUCAUCUUCCCUAAACACUGGGAGAAGUGGUUAUAAAGGGGGGAAAGGACAUGGAAAUUGUCUUAAAUUCUUUUGUAACACAUAA